AGAGUUUGAUCCUGGCUCAGAAUCAACGCUGGCGGCGUGCCUAACACAUGCAAGUCGAACGCGGUUAUCCAGCAAUGGAUGACUGAGUGGCGAACGGGUGAGUAACACGUGGGUGACCUACCUUCGAGUGGGGGAUAACGUCCCGAAAGGGACGCUAAUACCGCAUAACAUCCUGCCUUUGAACAGGCGGUGAUCAAAGCCGGGGAUCGCAAGACCUGGCGCUUGAUGAGGGGCCCGCGCCUGAUUAGCUAGUUGGUGGGGUAAUGGCUCACCAAGGCGACGAUCAGUAUCCGGCCUGAGAGGGCGGACGGACACACUGGGACUGAGACACGGCCCAGACUCCUACGGGAGGCAGCAGUGGGGAAUUGUUCGCAAUGGGCGCAAGCCUGACGACGCAACGCCGCGUGGAGGAUGAAGGUCUUCGGAUUGUAAACUCCUGUUGCUCGGGACGAAAAGCUUCGACCUAACACGUCGAAGUCUGACGGUAUCCGA
This 492-nucleotide ribosomal RNA is filed under the name uncultured bacterium. RNAcentral describes it as "bacterial SSU rRNA". It matches the Rfam family "Bacterial small subunit ribosomal RNA", at positions 8 to 481 of the family's 1533-position model. The record is from RNAcentral.